RNAcentral lists this ribosomal RNA (253 nucleotides) under uncultured bacterium. Its description in RNAcentral is "partial 16S ribosomal RNA". It matches the Rfam family "Bacterial small subunit ribosomal RNA", at positions 524 to 776 of the family's 1533-position model. The record is from RNAcentral.
UACGGGGGGGGCAAGCGUUGUUCGGAAUUACUGGGCGUAAAGGGCUCGUAGGCGGCCAACUAAGUCGGAUGUGAAAUCCCCAGGCUCAACCUGGGAACUGCAUCCGAUACUGGAUGGCUUGAAUUCGGGAGAGGGAUGCAGAAUUCCAGGUGUAGCGGUGAAAUGCGUAGAUAUCGGGAGGAACACCGGUGGCGAAGGCGGCGACCUGGGUAGAUACUGACGCUGAGGCGCGAAAGCGUGGGGAGCAAACAGG